UCUAGCCAUGCCGCGUGUGUGAUGAAGGCCUUAGGGUCGUAAAGCACUUUCGCCAGAGAUGAUAAUGACAGUAUCUGGUAAAGAAACCCCGGCUAACUCCGUGCCAGCAGCCGCGGUAAUACGGAGGGGGUUAGCGUUGUUCGGAAUUACUGGGCGUAAAGCGUACGUAGGCGGAUCAGAAAGUAGGGGGUGAAAUCCCAGGGCUCAACCCUGGAACUGCCUCCUAAACUCCUGGUCUUGAGUUCGAGAGAGGUGAGUGGAAUUCCAAGUGUAGAGGUGAAAUUCGUAGAUAUUUGGAGGAACACCAGUGGCGAAGGCGGCUCACUGGCUCGAUACUGACGCUGAGGUACGAAAGUGUGGGGAGCAAACAGGAUUAGAUACCCUGGUAGUCCACUGCUGCCUCCCGUAG
Molecule: ribosomal RNA, 409 nt
Filed under: Sulfitobacter sp. Asnod2B09
Lineage: Bacteria; Pseudomonadati; Pseudomonadota; Alphaproteobacteria; Rhodobacterales; Roseobacteraceae
Description: bacterial SSU rRNA
Rfam family: Bacterial small subunit ribosomal RNA
Source: RNAcentral